RNAcentral lists this long non-coding RNA (4471 nucleotides) under Olea europaea subsp. europaea. The record is from RNAcentral. Lineage: Eukaryota; Viridiplantae; Streptophyta; Magnoliopsida; Lamiales; Oleaceae.
CUUCUCGUGAAGAAAAAGCAAAGAAAGGACAAGAAAAAGAAAAAGAAAAAUCUACUCUCUCUCUCAACAAGAAGGACAGGCUGAUGAUGCUUACAACUCAUCCUCCACUAAUGAGUAAAAAGUAGCGGCCAAGAUUUGCCGACACUCAAAUCUCAGUGAGAGUUGUAGGAUAGAAAGCAACUUGUUUGGCUCCUUCGUCUGUAAAAGGAGACCAUUGGCAACCAUAAAGGGCAGAAUAAGAACUCUGCAAGUGCAGACACAUGCCAAAAGAUUUCUUUGCCUUAGGAAAUGAGUAGCUAAGCUACCGCAAGGAAGGUUCUUCAAGAAUCAUUGUAUAUUGUAAUGUUUCCCUUUUCUUCAAUAAAGUAAUAUUUUGAGUUUCAUCUGUGUCCAAUCUUUGUACGGAUAACUCUGGAGCCUUGUCAAUCGCCGAUUUAGUAGGAAGGUGGCCGUUGAGGGAAGCAGGCGGAAUUGCAGGUUGAGUUUGAGGCAAAGUAUACACAGAAGGAAGCGUGGGCGAGCCCAGAUAUUACUGAAGAAAGGUAUGAGUUUGAUACAUUACCAUAUCAAUGUGUUCAUAGAAGAAUCUUUCUAUCAUUCCAAUUUGAAACAACAACAAUUUUUAUCACAAGAUUAAAAAGGACAUGAGAAAACAUUUUCUUAAAAAAAUCAGAAGUAGAUCAAAUCUACGAAAUAAAAGUAACUGUGCUUUUAACACAGGAAGAAAAUAUAAAAAUUGAAUUUAUUUUCAACACCAAAAACAACAAUGAAGUCUCUUGGAAGAUUUAAUCCUUCAAAAGAAUCCGAGAAGGCAGAAAAUUUAAAAAUAUCCAUAAAUUUUGGAGACUUUAAAGAACUUUUCAACAAGGUUCGAACAGCUGGAAGUGAAUCUAUGGUUCCUCAUAGAUUUUUCUCAACGGACAAGAAAGAGUAUUCAUUAUACAAUUUCUUAGAAGGAGCUGAUCCAGAAUUAGUCUACAAGGCAUUUUGCUGUGGAUUAAUUGACAACAUAUAUCCUAGUUCCAAUCUCCAGGAAUUAAGAUAUUUUCCAGGACAGUUCAAGAAGGCAAUCAAGAACUUCAGAACUAAAGUUAUCAAGGUGGCAGAUAAACCAAUUUAUUUGUCCAUAAAAAGUUCUUUAAUUGAUUGGAAUAAUCAACGAGAAGAAAUUACCCCUUAUUAUUUAAUUAAUAUGGGACUGGCAAAUUCAAAAUUGGAAAGAGAAGCACCUCUUGCUCUUGAACCAGUGGAAAUAAAUGAAGACUGGAUUGUCUACUUAAGAAGCAAACUCUUGGGAGUUGUUUAUCAAGAAUUAAGAAAAGUAUAUCUUGAUUCAAAGAUAAGAAUUAAUUAUUAUUCCAAAACAAUAAUGUUAAAAUCUUUCAACAAGACAAAGAUUAGUCAGGCUGAUGCAGAAAAAUUUGUUGAAUUGGAAGCACAAUUCAAUUCAGGACAAUUAAAAGUGGGAUCCUCCACUGCUGAAGCUUUCUGCGAAAUUGCAAGACAGACAGCUGGAAAGGACCAUUAUUGUCCACUUUGCCCUCCUCUUGAAAAAAGGCAAAGAAAGGACACGAAAAAGGAAGAAAAAGUAGGAGAAUCUACUCUCUCUCAACACGGAGGACAGGCUCAUGUGUAAAAAGUAGCGGAUCUUGCCGACACUCAAAUCUCAAUGAGAGUCGUAGGAUAGAAAGCCACUUGUUUGGCUCCUUCAUCUAUAAAAGGAGACCAUUAAGGGCAGAAAAAGAACUCUGGAGGUCCACACACACACUAAAAGAUUUCUUUGCCUUAUGAAAUGAGUAGCUAAGCUACCGCAAGGAAGGUUCUUCAAAAACCAUUGUAUAUUGUAAUGUUUCCCUUUUCUUCAGUAAAGUAAUAUUUUCAGUUUCAUCUGUGUCCAAUCUUUGUACGGAUAACUCUGGAGCCUUGUCAAUCGCCGAUUUACUACCGUUUAGAUAGGCGGCCGUUGAGGGAAGCAGGCGAAAUUGCAGGUUGAGUUUGACGCAAAGUAUACACAUUAGGAAGUGUGGGAGAGCCCAGAUAUUACUGAAAAAGGGUAUGAGUUUGAUACAUUACCAUAUGGUCCAUAUCAAUGUGUUCAUAGAAGAAUCUUUCUAUCGUUUCAAUUUGAAACUGUUGAUACAUUAAAAAGUGCAGUCCAAAUCAAAUAGUCCAAAAAGUGAAGCUCAAUUGAGAAUCCAGGAUAAAGGUCCAAACAGGAUUAUUGAUAAAUGCGGUGGAAGUCCAUGAACACAGUAACAUCAUCGUCCAAACUUGCAAGACGCCUAGAAUCUGAGCGAAUAGCAUACCUUACGGUCGCCUAGAGCGAUGACCACGUUUUCGCCCAAACCUUCAAAUCGCCUAGGAUUUUAGCAAACAUAAAACAUUAUAAUUAUUCAGAAUAGCAGUUAUUGAGUGAUCUUAUCACAUUUCACGAAUCAAGGAGCCCAGUUGAAGGCGGUUGAACGACAAAGAGUAAUGGCGACAGUUAGGGACGACAGUUCCCCUACAAGUUAGCCACUAUAAAGAAAGUGGAUAGUUAUAUAGCAAUCAAGCAGUUUUCAAGUGAUUGUCACGAAAAAAUCAUCAAAGGAAUACAAAAGGAAGAGAAGACAUAGAGAAAAAGGAUCCCGAAUCAAACACUCUCAAACAGUGAAUAUAUAAUUUCGAUUUCUUAUUUUGAACUUAAACAUUUCUUUUAGUACUCGUGUGCUUGCGCCCUUUGGAUGCAUUCUGUUUAAGUUUCAAUUGUAAAUCAUCGCCAAUAAAACACCCCUUUUUGGGACUUUGUCUCAAGAGGUUUGUUCCUUACACAAUCGUCUGAUCUCUUUUUUUAACUGUUAGCGACUACUCGUGCGAAACAGAAACAACAACAAUUUUAAUCACGAGAUUAAAAAGGACAUGAGAAAACCUUUUCUUAAAAAAUUCAGAAGUAGGUCAAAUCUACGAAAUAAAAGUAAUUGUGCUUUGACACAGGAAGAACAUAUAAAAAUUGAAUUUAUUUCAGUUUUUACUUUUUCAAAUUUUAAAGAUCUUUAAAGUCUCAUAGAUAUUCUAUGGGGGCUUCCUUAUUCAAGCUGAUGAUGAGACACAAUACUCUUUGUGUAGAGUAUAUUGAUCACCAAAGAUAUACCUACUUCCAAUCACCACAAAGUAGACAACUGCAAACCCAAGAUAAUUCCAAGUUCACUUCUGGUUGCCAAUGAGAUAUAUCACUUAAAAGACCGCAAAAGUGCAAGAAAUCUCAUAGAAUAUCAUCACUAUGGUAGUAAUCACAUAGAGGCAGAAAGAGUAGAAGAAGAAGACACACAGGAACUGCCGAGAGAGAGAGAGGCAAUGAACGGGUCUCAAACUUAGAUAGGAAGACCAAUUUAUCUUGUAACCAAUGACCCAAAUAAGGUAAGUGUAAUUAGGUUAACCAAUGGGUUAAGUUAGAGGCCCAAAAGAUAAGUGGGCCCACAAGUUUUCUCUCAAUUAAAGGUCAUCCAAGGAAGUGGAUUGGGUCACGUGCAACACUAAAAUAUUUAGAUUGCUUCGAGUGGUCCAAUUAAUCUUUGUGUUGUAUCAUCUCGAAUAUGGUAUUGGAUUCUCGUUCAGUCAUUUGACUAGGCCAAUUGAAAAAUUAAACCGAGUAACAUUAUAGCUCAGAAGAAGUCGUUUGAUAACAAAUUGCCUAACACUUUGAAAAAUAUUGUUAGGAGACUCAAGAUCAAAUGGCAGGAAAAAUUUACUAAAACUAACGCUUGCCCAAAAGCAAGCCAAGAUUGGAUUGAAAGUUGUAAAAUUCAAGUUACGAAAAACUUCAAGAAUUCAUGAACAAGAAGCUGAUUUCCUAACAGAGAAAAAGCAAGUUUAUGGCAAUGAUGGCCCAGUGCAAAGAUCUUGAAGAAUUUGUACUAUUAGCACAAGAAGCUUCUUCCCUAACAAAAUUAGUUUCAAAUACGUCGAAGCUUCGUGUAGCUCAUUGGGAUCAAAAACCUAAGAUUAUGCCCAAGAAAAUGAUGAUGAUUGUUAUGGCAUAGAUGAUCGAUAUGGUGGAUGACCAGUAAUUAAUAAAGAUUAAGAUUCUUUCUCAAGAAAAAGUCGAAAGUUUCAAAUAAUGAAUGUCAAAGAUUCUUUUCCAAGUGAAAGUAUCAGAAAAUAAAAAUAAUUGUUCUUUAAAGAUUAUUAUCAUUGUCCUUUAUUCAAAGAUAAUUGUCCUUCAAAGCAAGAGCCGACCAAGGACAAGCAAGAAAUAAGUGUUCCAAGAAUUCCUAUAUCAAAAUGAAGAAAUUUUGAAGUCUGAAGAAAUUGAAGACUUUUAUAACAGGAGAAUUCAAGACAAAGAAAGGAGAGCGAUUUUUCUUUUAAAGAAUUUCCUUUGUAUUGUAUCAUCUAAUCGUUCUUUAGAUUUUUCGAAAAAAUUUCAAUUAUGAUAUUUAUUUGAGAUCUUUUUUCUUUAAGAAAACUGUAGCCAUUCGAUAUAUUAUUUGAG